AUGCCAACGCUUAUUGGGAUUGUAGAAGUAUUCACCAUUCACGAGUUUGGAGUCUACUGGUGGCACAUGAAUGAUGACCUUGUUAGACCUUUGGUGAUGCUUCCUCCAAAAGAAAUACCACCAUUCUGGCAUGCUAUAUUUUUCAUUGCGGUGAAUGAUACAAUGGUCCGGCAAGCUGCUAUGGUGGUCAAGUGUGUGCUGCUCAUGUACUACAGAAACAACAAAGGUCGUCACUAUCGUAGACAGGUAAUCUGUUGUACAUUAUCAUUGUUCAGCUAA
This 279-nucleotide ribosomal RNA is filed under the name Triticum aestivum (bread wheat). RNAcentral's name for it is "partial small subunit ribosomal RNA". Lineage: Eukaryota; Viridiplantae; Streptophyta; Magnoliopsida; Poales; Poaceae. The record is from RNAcentral.